This 270-nucleotide ribosomal RNA is filed under the name uncultured bacterium. RNAcentral describes it as "partial 16S ribosomal RNA". It matches the Rfam family "Bacterial small subunit ribosomal RNA", at positions 29 to 326 of the family's 1533-position model. The record is from RNAcentral.
AACGAACGCUGGCGGCAUGCCUAACACAUGCAAGUCGAACGAGAUCUUCGGAUCUAGUGGCGCACGGGUGCGUAACGCGUGGGAAUCUGCCCAAGGGUACGGAAUAACUCCUCGAAAGGGGUGCUAAUACCGUAUGAAGCCGCAAGGCCAAAGAUUUAUCGCCUUUGGAUGAGCCCGCGUUGGAUUAGCUAGUUGGUGGGGUAAAGGCCUACCAAGGCGACGAUCCAUAGCUGGUCUGAGAGGAUGAUCAGCCACACUGGGACUGAGACA